UUUGUUACUCAGUAAACUGUAUUGUCCUUAUUAGGUGGAAUGCAUCAUGCUGAGCUGUUUCCACGGGAAGCCCCAGGGGAAGAACCACACGAUUCCUACUUGUAGUGUCAUAUACAGUAACCAGGCUCUUACUGGUGCUGCUGUCUUCAGGGCACUGUGGUUGGGAGAAUGAGCUCUUUCAACAUAUGUAAUUCCAUUACAAUUUUUUAGGAACCUUGGUUUUAAGAGCAAAUUAGCAGAAGGCUAUUAGCAAUAGUGAUAACAGCUUUAGUGUUAAUGGAGUCCUUUUGGCACGAUUUCCCAAAUUGAAGCCUAGCAGUUGACAGAGCAUAUACGAUUGUGUUGCACUAUUGCUAUAUUAACUAGCUGCCAUUAGAGUCUCGGUGUAUUACUUCAUUUUUUUUGGCCUGGUUAAUGUUUACUACAUAUUGUCUGACAUCAGAGUUCAAAGGUCAGGCUGACAUGAGAGGCACACGUAAAGAAUAAUGAGGAGCUGAGGAGGUGAGCAAAUCUGUCAGGAAAGUGAAGCGUGGACAGCAUCAUGGUGGGAAUCUCAGAGUUUCAAAAGAUCGGUGUGGGUUUGUCAGGCUUCGGCAUAUUCUUCCUGUUAUUUGGAGUGUUGCUGUACUUUGACUCUGUCUUGCUGGCAUUUGGUAACAUCUUGUUCCUGACUGGUCUGGCCUUCAUCAUUGGCCUGAGAAGAACGGCUCACUUCUUCUUCCAGAGGCAAAAACUCAGAGCUUCCUCCUUUUUCCUGGGUGGUGUGGCUUUAGUGGUGCUCCGAUGGCCACGCAUAGGCAUGCUCGUGGAGAGUUAUGGCUUUGUGCUUCUGUUUAAGUCAUUUUUCCCGAUGGCGUUUGGAUUUCUUGGAACAGUACUGAAUAUGCCGUUCCUCACUACAACACAGUGCAGAGAUUUUCCUUUUGGGAACUGUGGAGGCUACUAGAAAUGCUUCUGAUUGCAGCGAUACUCCUGUUAUCAGUUAGACUUGGUGAGAGCAAUCCCACAAGAGAGUACACUGAAGAUGAGACUCCAGAGGAUCGAGUGCUUGAGGUUUUGCAGAGAAUUGCUGCACGGCCCACACACAAACCUCUGGCGUCCAAACACUCGUCUCACCUCUUCAUGGACAUGUCUGACCCAUGGCUAAAGCCACGAUUUCCCAGAAGUUCAUGGUGGUGGUACAUUGAAAAGCCUCAUGCUGAAACCAAGAGGAGGCAGAAUCUAGCCUCAUAUAAUCUGAAUUCAU
Tachysurus fulvidraco (yellow catfish) is the source of this 1246-nucleotide RNA transcript. It is a transcript of the gene named golgi transport 1A, with no coding region annotated. NCBI's taxonomy places the organism in Eukaryota, Metazoa, Chordata, Actinopteri, Siluriformes, Bagridae. The transcript has 6 exons. The record is from RefSeq and is a predicted model, not a curated record.